UCGGCAGACCAGACAAUCGCUGUUUAAGCAAUUGCUUAAAGGGAGGAAAGUCCGGGCUACAUAGGGCGAUGUGCUAGCUAACGGCUAGGGGGCGUAAGCCUACGACAAGUGCAACAGAGAAUAGACCGCCCGACCACUCAACCGAAUUUUUUGCUGAUUGAUUAUCGGGUCUUAAAAAUUUCGGUUGAGUGGUUGGGUAAGGGUGAAACGGUGGGGUAAGAGCCCACCGCAUGACUGGCAACAGUUCAUGGCAAGGUAAACUCCACAUGUAGCAAGACCAAAUAGGAACUCAAUGGGUGGCCCGCUCAGAGUUCGGGUAGGUUGCUUGAGCGUGUCGGCGACGGCACGCCUAGAUGAAUGAUUGUCCACGACAGAACCCGGCUUAUCGGUUUGCCAAAAAU
RNAcentral lists this RNase P RNA (401 nucleotides) under Moraxella cuniculi. RNAcentral's name for it is "RNase P RNA component class A". It matches the Rfam family "Bacterial RNase P class A". Rfam says of the family: Ribonuclease P (RNase P) is a ubiquitous endoribonuclease, found in archaea, bacteria and eukarya as well as chloroplasts and mitochondria. Its best characterised activity is the generation of mature 5'-ends of tRNAs by cleaving the 5'-leader elements of precursor-tRNAs. RNAcentral also lists the same sequence under 1 other name. Lineage: Bacteria; Pseudomonadati; Pseudomonadota; Gammaproteobacteria; Moraxellales; Moraxellaceae. The record is from RNAcentral.